Molecule: ribosomal RNA, 433 nt
Filed under: uncultured bacterium
Lineage: Bacteria
Description: partial 16S ribosomal RNA
Rfam family: Bacterial small subunit ribosomal RNA
Source: RNAcentral
AACGAACGCUGGCGGCAGGCCUAACACAUGCAAGUCGAGCGAGCAUUUCGGUGCUAGCGGCGGACGGGUGAGUAACGCGUGGGAACGUGCCCUUUUCUGCGGAAUAGUCCUGGGAAACUGGGGGUAAUACCGCAUACGCCCUUUUGGGGAAAGAUUUAUCGGAGAAGGAUCGGCCCGCGUUGGAUUAGGUAGUUGGUGGGGUAAUGGCCCACCAAGCCGACGAUCCAUAGCUGGCUUGAGAGGAUGAUCAGCCACACUGGGACUGAGACACGGCCCAGACUCCUACGGGAGGCAGCAGUGGGGAAUCUUAGACAAUGGGGGCAACCCUGAUCUAGCCAUGCCGCGUGAGUGAUGAAGGCCUUAGGGUUGUAAAGCUCUUUCAGCUGGGAAGAUAAUGACGGUACCAGCAGAAGAAGCCCCGGCUAACUCCGUG